This 491-nucleotide ribosomal RNA is filed under the name uncultured bacterium. Its description in RNAcentral is "partial 16S ribosomal RNA". It matches the Rfam family "Bacterial small subunit ribosomal RNA", at positions 29 to 506 of the family's 1533-position model. The record is from RNAcentral.
AGUGAACGCUGGCGGUAGGCCUAACACAUGCAAGUCGAACGGCAGCACAGUAAGAGCUUGCUCUUACUGGUGGCGAGUGGCGGACGGGUGAGGAAUACAUCGGAAUCUACUUUUUCGUGGGGGAUAACGUAGGGAAACUUACGCUAAUACCGCAUACGACCUACGGGUGAAAGCAGGGGAUCUUCGGACCUUGCGCGAUUGAAUGAGCCGAUGUCGGAUUAGCUAGUUGGCGGGGUAAAGGCCCACCAAGGCGACGAUCCGUAGCUGGUCUGAGAGGAUGAUCAGCCACACUGGAACUGAGACACGGUCCAGACUCCUACGGGAGGCAGCAGUGGGGAAUAUUGGACAAUGGGCGCAAGCCUGAUCCAGCCAUACCGCGUGGGUGAAGAAGGCCUUCGGGUUGUAAAGCCCUUUUGUUGGGAAAGAAAAGCAGCAGGCUAAUACCCCGCUGUUCUGACGGUACCCAAAGAAUAAGCACCGGCUAACUUCGU